Molecule: long non-coding RNA, 479 nt
Filed under: Crocodylus porosus (Australian saltwater crocodile)
Lineage: Eukaryota; Metazoa; Chordata; Crocodylia; Crocodylidae
Description: lncRNA (ENSCPRG00005013937.1)
Source: RNAcentral
AUUGACUUCACUGGAUCCAGGAAUUCAUCCCAUAUAUUGUAAAACAACAAUGAACAGGCAGGAAAAAUGGAGGUUUGGAGGUGGAAGUGUUGGCCAAUAAACAGCAUUGGGGGUAGAAGUGCUGGCUAAUAAGCAACACCCAGAAGGAGCCAGUCAGACUGAAUGAUGAAUCAGAAACAAAUAUAUGGAAUACUUUUUGCAUCUCCAGCAUGUGUGCGGUAUCCCAUUGAGUUGGCUCAUUUAUGGCUCCAUGAAUCAUCCCAAGUCUACUCAGACAAGCUUAUGGAAGAAAAGGAUAUUGAACGUUUUAACAAAGUUCUCAUUGAUACUGCAAAAAGAUGCUUUGAGCCUCCAUGAACUGACACAGCUGUAUUAAUACAUUUCUUUCUGGAGAAGUUACAGCGUGGCAAAACUGUUACCACAAUUGCAUUCAUUGGGCCCCUGGAUGGCAGUUACAUCAGAGAAGACAAAGACCAAAG